RNAcentral lists this ribosomal RNA (408 nucleotides) under uncultured bacterium. RNAcentral describes it as "partial 16S ribosomal RNA". It matches the Rfam family "Bacterial small subunit ribosomal RNA", at positions 29 to 526 of the family's 1533-position model. The record is from RNAcentral.
AGUGAACGCUGGCGGCGUGCCUAAUACAUGCAAGUCGAACGGAGUGGCGCCCGGGAGAGUAAUAUAUAGCUAAUCUGCCCCUUGCUGGAGGACAACAGUAAGAAAUGACUGCUAAUACUCCAUAGCAAGGGAUGAGACUAUAUCGUAUCAGCUAGUCGGUGGGGUAACGGCCUACCGAGGCUAUGACGCGUAACUGGGCUGAGAGGAUGAGCAGUCAAAGUGGAACUGAGACACGGUCCAAACUCCUACGGGAGGCAGCAGUAGGGUGUAUUGCGCAAUGGGGGAAACCCUGACGGAGCGCUGGCGGGUGGAGUAUGACACUUUUCGGAGAGUAAGCUUCUUUUGUUAGCGAAGCGGUACCUAACGAAUAAGCCCGCGGUAACUCCGGGCCAGCCGCCGCGGUAAUUC